ACAAGCGGCGGAGCAUGCGGAUUAAUUCGAUGCAACGCGAAGAACCUUACCAAGGCUUGACAUACACCGGUAACGCCCAGAGAUGGGUGCCCCUUUGUGGUCGGUGUACAGGUGGUGCAUGGCUGUCGUCAGCUCGUGUCGUGAGAUGUUGGGUUAAGUCCCGCAACGAGCGCAACCCUCGUCCUAUGUUGCCAGCGGGUCAUGCCGGGGACUCAUGGGAGACUGCCGGGGUCAACUCGGAGGAAGGUGGGGAUGACGUCAAAUCAUCAUGCCCCUUAUGUCUUGGGCUUCACGCAUGCUACAAUGGCCGGUACAAAGGGCUGCGAUACCGCGAGGUGGAGCGAAUCCCAGAAAGCCGGUCUCAGUUCGGAUUGGGGUCUGCAACUCGACCCCAUGAAGUCGGAGUCGCUAGUAAUCGCAGAUCAGCAACGCUGCGGUGAAUACGUUCCCGGGCCUU
This 457-nucleotide ribosomal RNA is filed under the name uncultured Curtobacterium sp. RNAcentral describes it as "bacterial SSU rRNA". It matches the Rfam family "Bacterial small subunit ribosomal RNA", at positions 925 to 1382 of the family's 1533-position model. Lineage: Bacteria; Bacillati; Actinomycetota; Actinomycetes; Micrococcales; Microbacteriaceae. The record is from RNAcentral.